AGCAGCCGCGGUAAUUCCAGCUCCAAUAGCGUAUAUUAAAGUUGUUGCAGUUAAAAAGCUCGUAGUUGAAUUUCGGGGUCAGUAGAUUGGUCAUGCCACUGGUAUGUACUGGUCUCACUGAUUCCUCCUUCCUGAUGAGCCGUAAUGCCAUUAAUUUGGUGUUGCGAGGAAUCUGGACUGUUACUUUGAAAAAUUAGAGUGUUUAAAGCAAGCUAACGCUUGAAUACAUUAGCAUGGAAUAAUGAAAUAGGACGUUCGAUCCUAUUUUGUUGGUUUCUAGGAUUGACGUAAUGAUUAAUAGGGAUAGUUGGGGGCAUUAGUAUUCAAUUGUCAGAGGUGAAAUUCUUGGAUUUAUUGAAGACUAACUACUGCGAAAGCAUUUGCCAAGGAUGUUUUCAUUAAUCAAGAACGAAAGUUAGGGGAUCGAAGACGAUCAGAUACCGUCGUAGU
This 450-nucleotide ribosomal RNA is filed under the name uncultured Glomeromycotina. RNAcentral's name for it is "SSU rRNA". It matches the Rfam family "Eukaryotic small subunit ribosomal RNA", at positions 569 to 1024 of the family's 1831-position model. Lineage: Eukaryota; Fungi; Glomeromycota. The record is from RNAcentral.